CGGAGGUGCAAGCGUUAUCCGGAUUUAUUGGGUUUAAAGGGUCCGUAGGCGGACUUGUAAGUCAGUGGUGAAAUCUCAUAGCUUAACUAUGAAACUGCCAUUGAUACUGCAGGUCUUGAGUAAAUUUGAAGUGGCUGGAAUAAGUAGUGUAGCGGUGAAAUGCAUAGAUAUUACUUAGAACACCAAUUGCGAAGGCAGGUCACUAAGAUUUAACUGACGCUGAUGGACGAAAGCGUGGGUAGCGAACAGGAUU
Molecule: ribosomal RNA, 253 nt
Filed under: uncultured bacterium
Lineage: Bacteria
Description: partial 16S ribosomal RNA
Rfam family: Bacterial small subunit ribosomal RNA
Source: RNAcentral